This 506-nucleotide ribosomal RNA is filed under the name uncultured bacterium. RNAcentral describes it as "partial 16S ribosomal RNA". It matches the Rfam family "Bacterial small subunit ribosomal RNA", at positions 29 to 523 of the family's 1533-position model. The record is from RNAcentral.
AGUGAACGCUGGCGGUAGGCCUAACACAUGCAAGUCGAACGGCAGCACAGGAGAGCUUGCUCUCUGGGUGGCGAGUGGCGGACGGGUGAGGAAUACAUCGGAAUCUACUUUUUCGUGGGGGAUAACGUAGGGAAACUUACGCUAAUACCGCAUAGGACCUACGGUUGAAAGCAGGGAACCUUCGGGCCUUGCGCGAUUGAAUGAGCCGAUGUCGGAUUAGCUAGUUGGCGGGGUAAAGGCCCACCAAGGCGACGAUCCGUAGCUGGUCUGAGAGGAUGAUCAGCCACACUGGAACUGAGACACGGUCCAGACUCCUACGGGAGGCAGCAGUGGGGAAUAUUGGACAAUGGGCGCAAGCCUGAUCCAGCCAUACCGCGUGGGUGAAGAAGGCCUUCGGGUUGUAAGGCCCUUUUGUUGGGAAAGAAAUCCAGCUGGCUAAUACCCGGUUGGGAUGACGGUACCCAAAGAAUAAGCACCGGCUAACUUCGUGCCAGCCGCCGCCGUAA